This 110-nucleotide ribosomal RNA is filed under the name uncultured bacterium. RNAcentral's name for it is "partial 16S ribosomal RNA". It matches the Rfam family "Bacterial small subunit ribosomal RNA", at positions 1373 to 1482 of the family's 1533-position model. The record is from RNAcentral.
CCCGGGCCUUGUACACACCGCCCGUCACACCACGAAAGUUGGCUCGACCCGAAGUCGCUAACCCAACCGCAAGGAGGGAGGCGCCAACGGUCUGGUCGAUGAUUGGGGUG